RNAcentral lists this ribosomal RNA (3003 nucleotides) under Diaporthe aspalathi. RNAcentral describes it as "bacterial LSU rRNA". The stretch from base 2457 to 3003 matches the Rfam family "Bacterial large subunit ribosomal RNA", at positions 2048 to 2851 of the family's 2925-position model. The record is from RNAcentral. Lineage: Eukaryota; Fungi; Ascomycota; Sordariomycetes; Diaporthales; Diaporthaceae.
UCUACUUCAAGAUUUUGAUGCUUAUUUUUCUACUUUAAAAACAAGUAAAAUAAAGGCAAAAGAACAAGCAAAUAAAUGAAUAAAAUUGAUUUUUAAGAAAGAACUUACUUUAAUUAGAAAAUAUAAAUUUAGACUAAAUCUUAAUAAGUAUAAAUUUGAAGAUAAAUUAUUAUAUGGAUUAAGUAAUAUUAUAAGAAAGCUUUAUAAUAAAGAAAUAGAAUUUAAUAUUGUUAAUUUAAAAAAUAUAGUUUUUAAUACAGAUUUAUUUACGGAAAUAUCUACAUUAAAAAUUAAGAAAAGAAAUGCAAAAAUUGUAAAAAUAAUGAACAUUAUGUUAAAUAAAGCUAACUUACCCUAUUUUAACAGAAUCCAGGAAACAGGUAGAUUAGAUAAUAAUGUAAGUCUUAAGUUAGUAGAAAAUAAAUAUAAAACUCUUAAUAUAAGAAAUAUUUUAGGUACUAAAUUUAAUAGUCCGUCUGGGACUCAGCAAGCUCUAGAUAAACUAUUAAAUAAAAUAUAUAUCAGUGUUAAGGAUAAAUUAUUACCACAACUAACUUUAGCUCGCCUUGGUCUUAAAAAUAGAAUAAAGGGAUCUAAUCAUCGGCCGGGUAGCUUACGUGGAGGCGAAGCCUUAUCCGACGUAGUCGCAUCAGGGUUGUAUGAUAUGGUAUUUAAUUCUAUUAAAUAUAAAAACAUGGCAGGAAUUAGAAUGGAAGUAAAAGGAAGGUUAACAAAACGUUAUAGAGCCGAUCGUAGUGUUUAUAAACUACGUUGAAAAGGGGGUUUAAAAAAUAUCGAUUCUUCUUUUAAAGGGUUAUCAGUUCGAAAGAAUAGAGGUCAUAUUAAUCCUAACGUAGGGUAUUCUAUUUUUGCAUCUAAACGACGUGUUGGUGCUUUUGCUGUGAAAGGGUGAAUGAGUGGUAAGAGUUAUUCUACAGUGUCUAAUAAUAGAAUGGAUUUAACUACUUCUUUAAACCCUUGAGUUGUAACAGGGCUUGUAGAUGCGGAAGGAAGUUUUAAUAUUACUGUAGUUAAGAAUAAUAAUAGUAAGUUAGGUUGAGUAACUAAGUUACGUCUUGAAAUGUCUAUGUUAAAAAAAGAUAGAUCUACAUUAGAACAAUUAAUAAAUUAUUUUGGUGGAGGUAGUAUUCGUAAUUUGGACGAUAAUAAUCUUCGUUUUUAUAUAGAAUCCUUUAAAGAUUUAACAGCGGUUAUAAACCAUUUUGACAAAUAUCCCCUGUUUACUAAAAAACAUGAAGAUUAUUUAUUUUUUUAACAGGUAUUUGACCUAUUUAAAAAUAAAAAUCACUUAACUAUGGAAGGAUUAAGACAGAUUAUAGCAAUAAAAGCUUUGUUAAGAAAUAAAGGAUUAUCUGAUUCUUUAUUAGAAGCUUUCCCUGAUAUUACUCCUGCAAUUCUGCCUAAUACAGAUACUACUUCUUUUAAAGGAGAUAUAAGUAUUCUUUAUCCGUGAUUAGCUGGCUUUACUUCUGGUGAUGGAAACUUCUAUGUUAGUAUAGCGGAAAGAGAAAAGGGUGUGCAAGUACAAUUAGUUUUUUCAAUUACUCAACAUAUUCGUGAUAAAGCUUUAAUGAACAGUUUAAUAUCUUAUCUUGGCUGUGGAAACAUAAAACACCAUGAAAAAUAUUCUUGAUUGCAAUUAGUUGUAACUAAAUUUUCGGAUAUAGAUGAAAAGAUCAUUCCAAUCUUUAGAGAAAACAAGAUAUUAGGCGAUAAAUUUAAAGAUUUUCAAGAUUGAUGUAAAGUAGCUGAAUUAAUGAAAAAUAAAGCUCAUUUAACUACUGAUGGUUUAGAAGAGAUACGUAAAUUAAAAGGAGGUAUGAAUACAGGAAGAAGUUUACUUUUACCUGUAUCAAACAAGCCCGUGUUAAAUAAAGCGAAGUUACCUAAAGGUAUACAUUAUUAUAGUACGGGGGCGCAAGCUCCACCUGGUAAUGGUAACGUCAUUCUUGCAGCUCACUUAAUAGGUCAAGCUGCAUAUAUUAUUCCAUCUUAUCAUAGCGAUGAAUUCUGAAAUUACUUAGAGGAGUGUGUAAGAGGUACUAUAUUUUAUUAUCCAAGAAUAACCGGAUCCUUUGACUUAUGUUUCCUUUUUAGUACUAAAGAUGGUAGUGGUGAAUUAAAGGGUGGAUUCUUAGCUUAUAAUACAGAUUUUCAACCAACUUCAGUUUCAAGUCCUACGCAAUACAUAAACAGUCUUCGUAGUAUUUUAGAUAAUAAACACAUUGAGUAUUCAUCUAAGUUUCCUUUAACAGGAGGAGGNNNNNNNNNNNNNNNNNNNNNNNNNNNNNNNNNNNNNNNNNNNNNNNNNNUUUUUUUUUGUCAAUCGCAGAUAUUACACAGUAGGUUGGUAGGUAGUUUAAAACGUAGGCGUGUUAUAUAUAAUAAAAAAGUGAAUACAUAGUCUGAACCAUUUUGUAAAAAAUGGAAAUAUUUGGUGGCUGCUACUGAUUCCUAAAAGGGAUAUGGCGGCUUCGCACAGCAACCACCAAUUUAAUGAUAACAAUUUGAACAGGCUAAUUUGCGCAAGAGUGUACAAAAUGAGUGCGCGGUUUGGCACCUCGAUGUCGGCUUAACUUAUCCUCCGGGAUGCAGGACCUCGGUAGGGUACGACUGUUCGUCGAUUAAAAAGUUACAUGAGCUGGGUUAAAUACGUCGUGAGACAGUAUGGUUUCUAUCUUCUAGAGGGAAUUAGAAUAAAAUAAGGAAUAACCUAGUACGAAAGGAACGUGGGGAAUUAAGUUAUUCUGGGUAAUACCAGGGUACACUUUAUUAACCUCUGGUUUACCUGUUGUUUAUACGCCCAAUAUUAAUUUAUGUAUAGGUUUUAAACCUCUUUAUACAGGGAUGUUACUUUCACUUAGGUAGAUAAAUAGUAUAGGCACGGCAGGAAAGCUAAGUUAGUCCAAGAUAAGUGCUGAAAGCAUAUAGGCACGAAGCUUACCUUAAGAUAUUUCUUAAAUAUACGUGAUAUAACAUUAC